AGGUCCUUACCUUUUUUUCUUCUUUUGACGCACUUUCAUCACGUUAGUCUUGUCUUAGCUUUUCUCAUUCCAUCAUUUCCUUUUCGGACAGAAGAGUCAAACACUUGUGCCAAUCUGCCUUACUUUGGAUGCUUGUCUGUUAUCAGCUGGUACUAUCCGAUUUUGAAUACUUGCAUGGAAUGGUACUGUACAAUUUUGAACAAUUUUGUCUAUUAUUGGACAGUCCAUGCAAUUUAGGAAACUUUUGACUGUUUUUGGAUCAUAGGGUUUGAUUUUGAGCAAUGUCUCUUUGGGGAUGGCCUUAUGGUCCAAUUUUGGACACCUAUGAUUGUUUUACAAUGCAUUUAAGAUGAUAGUGCCUGUUUGUGACCUCAUCUGUCAGUCUUUGGAUGGUACCAUUCGAUUUUGACGACCUGUUGUCAGGAAAGGGUUCUUUGAAAAAAACUGUAUACUAAUCAAAUGUGAAUUUUGACUGGGGAAGGCUAGGUUGGUCUCUAUGGUUUCCUCUUAGCAUUUGCUUGUGUUGCAAAAAUAGACCCUAGCUAAUAUGUCCUUGCCUGUGCACUUUUUUCAAAGAUUGGAAACAAGAAAUGAAGAUAAAGCAAGCAACUCCAUCACCAUUUUAUAUUGGUGUUGUGGAGAUAAAGUACUUCUAUUUGAGGGCGUCAUGGUAACCUCUUCAUCUUUUGAAAGCAAUUCCUCUUAAUAAGGGAACAUCAGGUAUUAAUGCUGGACUUAUGUACUUACAUGAAAUUGAAACAAACAAACACACUUAUCUUAACUUUUGGCUGACUUAUCACAGGUCCUUGACAGCAUUGACUUUUGUGUCUGAUGAGUGAGAGGAAUAACUUUUAAGUUAAAGUUGAUAUAAAAAGCCAGAGUUGCCCUGAGGUGUAUAACAUUUAGGCAGGAGGUCAGCACACUAAGGCAGCAGAAAGAACUCCAAGGGCUAAGCUCUCACUUCAAAAGAACUCUAUAAUGCCAGUUGAAGACAGCCCAUAGAUGGGGAGUGAAAAACACCCAUAAAAGGAGUGCUGGAAUGGAUAUAUUUUUAGAAGCUUUUAAUCAUUGGCCUUCUUCCCUUUUUUGGAACUAAUUCAACUUAGAGGAGAUAAACUUUACAGUCAAGUCUUAAUAGUGUGGUUCAAGAGCAAAGUGAAA
Pocillopora damicornis (cauliflower coral) is the source of this 1161-nucleotide long non-coding RNA. NCBI's taxonomy places the organism in Eukaryota, Metazoa, Cnidaria, Anthozoa, Scleractinia, Pocilloporidae. The record is from RefSeq and is a predicted model, not a curated record.